UCCUGGUUUCCCAGGCAGUCCCAUCAGAGUGCUCUCAUAAAGAGAUUGCAACUGACGGCAAGGGUUGCGCUCGUUAUAGGACUUAACCCAACAUCUCACGACACGAGCUGACGACAGCCAUGCAGCACCUGUGUAUAUGUCCAGAGUUACCCCUGGAAGACCCUAUCUCUAGGGGUGUCAUAUACAUGUCAAACCUAGGUAAGGUUCCUCGCGUAGUGUCGAAUUAAACCACAUGUUCCACCGCUUGUGCGGACCCCCGUCAAUUCCUUUGAGUUUUAAUCUUGCGACCGUACUCCCCAGGCGGAUCACUUAACGCGUUAGCUACGACACUAAUCCUGCAAAGCAGGACUAACGUCUAGUGAUCAUCGUUUACAGCGUGGACUAC
This 385-nucleotide unclassified non-coding RNA is filed under the name uncultured bacterium. RNAcentral describes it as "contains 16S-23S intergenic spacer region". The record is from RNAcentral.